UCCUACGGGGCGCAGCAGUGGGGGAUAUUGCACAAUGGGGGGAACCCUGAUGCAGCGACGCCGCGUGGGUGAAGAAGCGCCUCGGCGCGUAAAGCCCUGUCAGCAGGGAAGAAAAUGACGGUACCUGAAGAAGAAGCCCCGGCUAACUACGUGCCAGCAGCCGCGGUAAUACGUAGGGGGCAAGCGUUAUCCGGAUUUACUGGGUGUAAAGGGGGCGCAGACGGCGAUGCAAGCCAGGAGUGAAAGCCCACGGCCCAACCGUGGGACUGCUCUGGAAACUGUGCGGCUUGAGUGCGGGAGGGGCG
RNAcentral lists this ribosomal RNA (305 nucleotides) under uncultured bacterium. RNAcentral describes it as "bacterial SSU rRNA". It matches the Rfam family "Bacterial small subunit ribosomal RNA", at positions 337 to 659 of the family's 1533-position model. The record is from RNAcentral.